CGGGAUUAUUGGGGCGUAAGAGCUCGUAGGCGGUUUGUCGCGUCUGCCGUGAAAGUCCGGGGCUCAACUCCGGAUCUGCGGUGGGUACGGGCAGACUAGAGUGAUGUAGGGGAGACUGGAAUUCCUGGUGUAGCGGUGAAAUGCGCAGAUAUCAGGAGGAACACCGAUGGCGAAGGCAGGUCUCUGGGCAUUAACUGACGCUGAGGAGCGAAAGCAUGGGGAGCGAACAGGAUUAGAUACCCUGGUAGUCCAUGCCGUAAACGUUGGGCACUAGGUGUGGGGGACAUUCCACGUUUUCCGCGCCGUAACUAACGCAUUAAGUGCCCCGCCUGGGGAGUACGGCCGCAAGGCUAAAACUCAAAGGAAUUGACGGGGGCCCGCACAAGCGGCGGAGCAUGCGGAUUAAUUCCAUGCAACGCGAAGAACCUUACCUAGGCUUGACAUGGACCGG
RNAcentral lists this ribosomal RNA (451 nucleotides) under Arthrobacter globiformis. RNAcentral describes it as "bacterial SSU rRNA". It matches the Rfam family "Bacterial small subunit ribosomal RNA", at positions 546 to 994 of the family's 1533-position model. Lineage: Bacteria; Bacillati; Actinomycetota; Actinomycetes; Micrococcales; Micrococcaceae. The record is from RNAcentral.